CCUACGGGAGACAGCAGUCGAGAAUCAUUCACAAUGGGGGAAACCCUGAUGGUGCGACGCCGCGUGGGGGAAUGAAGGUCUUCGGAUUGUAAACCCCUGUCAUGUGGGAGCAAAUUAAAAAGAUAGUACCACAAGAGGAAGAGACGGCUAACUCUGUGCCAGCAGCCGCGGUAAUACAGAGGUCUCAAGCGUUGUUCGGAAUCACUGGGCGUAAAGGGUGCGUAGGCUGUUUCGUAAGUCGGGUGUGAAAGGCGCGGGCUCAACCCGCGGACGGCACAUGAUACUGCGAGACUAGAGUAAUGGAGAGGGAAGCGGAAUUCUCGGUGUAGCAGUGAAAUGCGUAGAUAUCGAGAAGAACACUCGUGGCGAAGGUGGGUUCCUGGACAUUAACUGACGCUGAGGCACGAAGGCGAGGGGAGCGAAAGGGAUUAGAUACCCCUGUAGUC
RNAcentral lists this ribosomal RNA (446 nucleotides) under uncultured bacterium. RNAcentral's name for it is "partial 16S ribosomal RNA". It matches the Rfam family "Bacterial small subunit ribosomal RNA", at positions 338 to 795 of the family's 1533-position model. The record is from RNAcentral.